RNAcentral lists this ribosomal RNA (506 nucleotides) under uncultured bacterium. RNAcentral's name for it is "partial 16S ribosomal RNA". It matches the Rfam family "Bacterial small subunit ribosomal RNA", at positions 29 to 523 of the family's 1533-position model. The record is from RNAcentral.
AGUGAACGCUGGCGGUAGGCCUAACACAUGCAAGUCGAACGGCAGCACAGGAGAGCUUGCUCUCUGGGUGGCGAGUGGCGGACGGGUGAGGAAUGCAUCGGAAUCUACUCUGUCGUGGGGGAUAACGUAGGGAAACUUACGCUAAUACCGCAUACGACCUACGGGUGAAAGCAGGGGAUCUUCGGACCUCGCGCGAUUGAAUGAGCCGAUGUCGGAUUAGCUAGUUGGCGGGGUAAAGGCCCACCAAGGCGACGAUCCGUAGCUGGUCUGAGAGGAUGAUCAGCCACACUGGAACUGAGACACGGUCCAGACUCCUACGGGAGGCAGCAGUGGGGAAUAUUGGACAAUGGGCGCAAGCCUGAUCCAGCCAUACCGCGUGGGUGAAGAAGGCCUUCGGGUUGUAAAGCCCUUUUGUUGGGAAAGAAAUCCAGCUGGUUAAUACCCGGUUGGGAUGACGGUACCCAAAGAAUAAGCACCGGCUAACUUCGUGCCAGCAGCCGCGGUAA